GGAAAAUGGCCUUCUUGUUCAACUACGUCUUCACUAGCUUUCUGUUUUCCUUCACUGCCUCAGGUUGCUGUCCUAGAAAUUGCUCUGUAGACAAGGCUGACUCCAAACUCAGAGAUCCACCACCCUCUACCUUCUGAAUGCUGGGAUUAAAGGCAGAGGAAAUUAUUUCUUAGUUCUGUACAAAAGGAGGCUCUUGGCUCAGUGUGCCUGCAUUCCAAAGCUGAGGAGAGAAGAAAGUGAUUAGUUUUGGAAUGCUGGAUUCACUGUGGUUUGCAGCUCUGGGGUGCUGUGCAGCAGCAGGUGACAAGAAAAACAGAAAGUGAGCAUUCAGAACUGGAGUCUACAGAAAAGCAAACAUCAGGAUUCAGAGACUUGGAGAGCCCUCAUCCAGUGGCUAAUGGAAACAGAGUCAGACACCCACAGCUAUACACUGAACUGAACUCUGGAAUCCAGUUGCAGAGAGGGAGGAAUGAAGAUAAAAGCAGUUGGGACCAGGCUGGUGAAUCCCACAGAAACAACUGGCUUGAACAAGGGAGAACACAAGGACCCCAGACUGCUGUCUGGGAGGCCAGCAAGGGACUGUUCCAGACACCUGAACAUGGGUGUUAAUGAGGAGGCCUCAGCACUCUAUGGACCCCCUGGUAGUGGAUCAGUAUUUUUCCCUGGUGUAAGAAGGGACUUUGAGAGCCCAUCCCACGUGAAGGGAUAUUCUAGGCCUGAACCCAUCCUAGGCCCUCUCCAAGAUGAUGUGGUGCACUUUGGGAUCCCCCAUGGAGGGCCCUACCCUCCCUGGGAAUUGGAGCAGGG
This 807-nucleotide long non-coding RNA is filed under the name Cricetulus griseus (Chinese hamster). RNAcentral's name for it is "lncRNA (ENSCGRG00015032199.1)". The record is from RNAcentral. Lineage: Eukaryota; Metazoa; Chordata; Mammalia; Rodentia; Cricetidae.